UUCGUCUACGAAAUUUACCAUCAAAGUUAACUCUUAAGUACCGAGAGAUUGUAUAAUGAACAAAGAGAACUGACUGUCUGGGACAACUAGGGUCAUCUUAGUUGUUCUCGCUCUCGCUCUCUCUCUCUCUCUCUCUCUCUCUCUCUCUCUCUCUCUCUCUCUCUCUCUCUCUCUUUCUAUACUAAAUCCUCUCUCUCUCUCUCUGUCUCGAUAUUUUGUUUAAAAUAGCAAGCUACAUUAACUGUACUUUUUCAGCUCCCGUAUCUGGGUAUUAAUAUACAAGUGACUAUAAUGUAGUUUAAUCUGUCAGAUAUCAGAUAGUAAUAUCAUCUUUUUAUUUUUACUUUUAACUUCAACUUUAUCCGACUUUUUCUUUUUUGUUCUUAAAACAGACGAGAGACUCUUCUGUAUCGCCCCCCAGUAGGCAGUACAUGCGGCUAGUUGUCCUGUCAGAGGAAGAGAAGAGGUCUAUUCUUACGGAGUGCCACAAUAACCCUGGGACUGGCAAUCACAGUGGUGUCAGAAGCACUCAAAACAGGGUUAUUGCUGGCUACUAUUGGCUACAAUUAUCCAGAAUGUGAAAGAAUGUGUAAUGUACUUAGAGGUCAGUUCUUGUCACCACUGCCAGUUGAAUGACCCCAUCAAGACUGUUGUGCCAGUUUUGCAUUCCAUUAAGGUAUAUAAUCUUGGGAGGUGCUUGGUUUGGAUUUGAUUGGACCACAGCCAGAAACAGUAUGCACCAGCAAAUAUGUCCUUCCUACGAAAGACCUGUAUACCAUGGGUGAUUGCAGAACCCAUGCAAUCUAAGACAGCAGCUGAGGUGACUGCAAUAAUAACCACAAAGUUGUUCUUGUUCGGCAUGGUUAGGAAAAUCAUUACAGACCAAGGGAAGGAGUUUGUCAACAAGGUUCUUCGCAACAUGGAGAGAGCACAGAGCAUGCAACAAAAGUAAUUCCAAAAUCACAAGUAUGACCGAGUAUAUUCAGUUCAGGCCGGUGAUGAUGUUUUGCUCUCACGGGACCCCAAGAAACGACAGACAGGAGGCACAUUUACAAGUCAGCACCAAGGACCAUAUACUGUGGCCAGCAUCUCUUCCAAAGGGUUAGCCACUAUUGUGAAAGGUUCAACUUGCCAGAGUGUCAGUGUGUCAAGACUGAGGACAUACUAAAGAUUGAAAAAUGGACCAACUGAGAGGAUGUUUCUCCAGGACCACUGUUGCUCAACAUUGAAUUGGGCCCUAUUCAAGAUGAACUGGUAAGCAUUCUGUCUAUUUAGUGACACUUUGCAUAUUUAAAUCAUAACCAUUACUUAUUCAUGUCAAAACCAAGGUAAAUUUUGCCUUACAUGAGAAGACUUCUGGAGCCUGGGUUUAAGCCGGUGCAUGGAAUCUAAUGUGUGUUUGUUUAGUGUCUUAGUUUACUGCAUAAAAAAAAAAAAAAAUUCCCAGAUAAUGCAUCAUUUUACACAUGGCAGUUUUCACAGGGAUGUAAUUGUUCUGAAUUGUUCUAAUUUUGAUGCAUGCAUGUUUAAUAGCUUAUAAUGUUUUUCCAUAAGGGAAAACAUUUUCACAUUGUUCACAGUGAUCACUCUAUGUUGUUGCCACCUGGAAAGAAUGUCCACCAGUGGAACCAGUGCAUUGUUUGCCUAUAAGUUUAUUUUUUUAUAUUUAUUUAUUUUGCUAUCAUAUACUCAUCAAUAUAGAAAGAACUCUAUUGGAAACAGGCACAGAAGUAUAUGUUUUUUGUGCAUGCAUAUUAUUUUGUCCCAGUACUGUUAGGAAAAUGUGUGGUCCAAGAAUGUCAUACUAUUUCCAGCUUGGAGCAGGCAGCCAGAUUAAGAUGAUCACUAUCUGCUCUGUAUUGAGUUUCUUUUUAUAAUCUUUCUAGCUGUAAUAUUUAAAAAUUCAACAGGUAGGGUUAGUGAGUUCUAUUUUCGUGGAUAUACCCAUUGCAGGUUACGUUGGUAGCUUUGAGGGAGAUACUUUUUCUUGAUUCUCUUCACCUUGAUGGUUUUGGUGAUGAGAUGUACAGAACCAUAUUUAGGUUGAGACUAGAGAUAAUUAAUUUACUGGCCUUGUUCCAGGCAUGUUAUUUGGUUACAAUUUCCAAAAGGAGCCUCGUCCUCAUGCUUCAUGUUCGUAUAAGAGCCUCGUUCUCAGGCUUCAUGUUCGUAUAAGAGCCUCGUUCUCAGGCUUCAUGUUCGUAUAAGAGCCUCAUCCUCAUGCUUCAUGUUCGUAUAAGAGCCUCAUCCUCAUGCUUCAUGUUCGUAUAAGAGCCUCAUCCUCAUGCUUCAUGUUCGUAUAAGAGCCUCAUCCUCAUGCUUCAUGUUCGUAUAAGAGCCUCGUCCUCAUGCUUCAUGUUUGUAUAAGAGCCUCGUUCUCAGGCUUCAUGUUCGUAUAAGAGCCUCAUCCUCAUGCUUCAUGUUCGUAUAAGAGCCUCAUCCUCAUGCUUCAUGUUCGUAUAAGAGCCUCAUCCUCAUGCUUCAUGUUCGUAUAAGAGCCUCAUCCUCAUGCUUCAUGUUCGUAUAAGAGCCUCAUCCUCAUGCUUCAUGUUCGUAUAAGAGCCUCAUCCUCAUGCUUCAUGUUCGUAUAAGAGCCUCGUCCUCAUGCUUCAUGUUCGUAUAAGAGCCUCGUUCUCAGGCUUCAUGUUCGUAUAAGAGCCUCAUCCUCAUGCUUCAUGUUCGUAUAAGAGCCUCAUCCUCAUGCUUCAUGUUCGUAUAAGAGCCUCGUUCUCAGGCUUCAUGUUCGUAUAAGAGCCUCGUUCUCAGGCUUCAUGUUCGUAUAAGAGCCUCGUUCUCAGGCUUCAUGUUCGUAUAAGAGCCUCGUUCUCAGGCUUCAUGUUCGUAUAAGAGCCUCGUUCUCAGGCUUCAUGUUCGUAUAAGAGCCUCGUCCUCAUGCUUCAUGUUCGUAUAAGAGCCUCGUCCUCAUGCUUCAUGUUCAUAUAAGAGCCUCGUUCUCAGGCUUCAUGUUCGUAUAAGAGCCUCAUCCUCAUGCUUCAUGUUCGUAUAAGAGCCUCAUCCUCAUGCUUCAUGUUCAUAUAAGAGCCUCGUUCUCAGGCUUCAUGUUCGUAUAAGAGCCUCGUUCUCAGGCUUCAUGUUCGUAUAAGAGCCUCGUUCUCAGGCUUCAUGUUCGUAUAAGAGCCUCGUUCUCAGGCUUCAUGUUCGUAUAAGAGCCUCGUUCUCAGGCUUCAUGUUCGUAUAAGAGCCUCGUCCUCAGGCUUCAUGUUCGCAUAAGAGCCUCGUCCUCAGGCUUCAUGUUCGUAUAAGAGCCUCGUCCUCAGGCUUCAUGUUCGCAUAAGAGCCUCGUCCUCAGGCUUCAUGUUCGUUAAAGAGCCUCGUCCUCAGGCUUCAUGUUCGUAUAAGAGCCUCGUUCUCAGGCUUCAUGUUCGUAUAAGAGCCUCGUUCUCAGGCUUCAUGUUCGUAUAAGAGCCUCGUUCUCAGGCUUCAUGUUCGUAUAAGAGCCUCGUCCUCAGGCUUCAUGUUCGCAUAAGAGCCUCGUUCUCAGGCUUCAUGUUCGUAUAAGAGCCUCGUCCUCAGGCUUCAUGUUCGCAUAAGAGCCUCGUCCUCAGGCUUCAUGUUCGUAUAAGAGCCUCGUUCUCAGGCUUCAUGUUCGUAUAAGAGCCUCGUUCUCAGGCUUCAUGUUCGAAUAAGAGCCUCGUUCUCAGGCUUCAUGUUCGUAUAAGAGCCUCGUUCUCAGGCUUAAUGUUCGUAUAAGAGCCUCGUCCUCAGGCUUCAUGUUCGCAUAAGAGCCUCGUCCUCAGGCUUCAUGUUCGUAUAAGAGCCUUGUUCUCAGGCUUCAUGUUCGUAUAAGAGCCUUGUUCUCAGGCUUCAUGUUCGAAUAAGAGCCUCGUUCUCAGGCUUCAUGUUCGUAUAAGAGCCUCGUUCUCAGGCUUAAUGUUCGUAUAAGAGCCUCGUCCUCAGGCUUCAUGUUCUCAUAAGAGCCUCGUCCUCAGGCUUCAUGUUCGUUAAAGAGCCUCGUCCUCAGGCUUCAUGUUCUCAUAAGAGCCUCGUUCUCAGGCUUCAUGUUCGUAUAAGAGCCUCGUUCUCAGGCUUCAUGUUCUCAUAAGAGCCUCGUCCUCAGGCUUCAUGUUCUCAUAAGAGCCUCGUCCUCAGGCUUCAUGUUCUCAUAAGAGCCUCGUUCUCAGGCUUCAUGUUCUCAUAAGAGCUCAUAAGAGCCUCGUUCUCAGGCUUCAUGUUCGUAUAAGAGCCUCGUCCUCAGGCUUCAUGUUCAUUAAAGAGCCUCGUCCUCAGGCUUCAUGUUCUCAUAAGAGCCUCGUCCUCAGGCUUCAUGUUCUCAUAAGAGCCUCGUUCUCAGACUUCAUGUUCUCAUAAGAGCUCAUAAGAGCCUCGUUCUCAGGCUUCAUGUUCUCAUAAGAGCCUCGUUCUCAGGCUUCAUGUUCGUUAAAGAGCCUCGUCCUCAGGCUUCAUGUUCUCAUAAGAGCCUCGUUCUCAGGCUUCAUGUUCAUUAAAGAGCCUCGUCCUCAGGCUUCAUGUUCUCAUAAGAGCCUCGUCCUCAGGCUUCAUGUUCUCAUAAGAGCCUCGUUCUCAGGCUUCAUGUUCUCAUAAAAGCCUCGUUCUCAGGCUUCAUGUUCUCAUAAGAGCUCAUAAGAGCCUCGUUCUCAGGCUUCAUGUUCAUAUAAGAGCCUCGUUCUCAGGCUUCAUGUUCGUAUAAGAGCCUCGUCCUCAGGCUUCAUGUUCGUAUAAGAGCCUCGUUCUCAGGCUUCAUGUUCGUUAAAGAGCCUCGUCCUCAGGCUUCAUGUUCGUUAAAGAGCCUCGUCCUCAGGCUUCAUGUUCGCAUAAGAGCCUCGUUCUCAGACUACAGAACUGAUAAUUUAAUUAGACAUGUAUUUUGUGUUUUCUUUGGAAUGCCAGACACGUUGCAACCUUCAUUGAUCCAGGACUGAAAAAACAGGAAGAGACCUUGCGUUUUUCCUCAACAGUGUACAGGGGAUUCCUGUGGUGUCUACAUGCUGAUGCACCUGUACGUCUUGUCAAUUAUCAUUCACAGAGGAUGAGCUGCCAUUGAUUCACCAGUGGUGGUGCAUUCAGCUGAUGGAGAGGUUUUGCCUAGAAGGGUAUGACAGACUCUACAGAUAACAUUUCAGUAUCUUGGUUGUAUUAAGUCACUGUUGGCAAAGUGAUACUAGAAAGGUGUUAGUGACACUAGACAUAUUCAAAGUGAUACUAGACAUAUUUUCCAAAGGCAUGGAUAGAGAUUUGCAUACUGGACAGAAGAAGCAUCCCAACUCCUUCAGGGAACCCUUGAGCCUAUCUUUAGGGUGUCAAAAUCCACCACCACAAAACUGUCGCCCAGCAGAAGAGUUGUGAUUGAAGAGGACACUGAUAAGUUGCAACAGCCAACCAUUGUGAGAAAUCUUCAUACAGCAUGGUAAUGGAUACACAAUCACAGAGACUUAUUCAAUGAGGAUGUGAGAGAGCCUGCUUUUCUGCAGAUGAACAGUGAUGAACAACAAAAUGCCCUCAGGAAGGUCCUGGGGUUGAAUUCUCAAAUGCAAAGGAUGACUUUCAAGAGGACAUGGAAACAUUUUUAAGUCAUACUGUGUUGAUGAACAAGGCAUGAAGGUCAAUGCUAUGUUCCUCAAUUGCAGUAGACGAAUGAGGGAGGAAGGGAGGGAAUAAAUGAAGGAUGGAAGGAAUUAAUUAUUUUAUGAAUGAAUAAAU
Long non-coding RNA from Xyrauchen texanus (razorback sucker), 5679 nucleotides. RefSeq lists it as uncharacterized. The record is from RefSeq and is a predicted model, not a curated record. The transcript is spliced from 9 exons. NCBI's taxonomy places the organism in Eukaryota, Metazoa, Chordata, Actinopteri, Cypriniformes, Catostomidae.